This is a non-coding RNA of Ictidomys tridecemlineatus (thirteen-lined ground squirrel), 71 nucleotides long. NCBI's taxonomy places the organism in Eukaryota, Metazoa, Chordata, Mammalia, Rodentia, Sciuridae. The record is from Rfam.
GUGGCUGUGGCUCAGGGGUAGAGCACACGCUUGGCACACGUGAGGCACUGGGUUGGAUCCACAGCACCACA